GAGCCUUACUCAUGCAUCCUGCCUCUUCUCUCGGACCUCUGUGACCCCUACCCAUGCCGCCUUCUGACUUGAUUAGAUUUUGCUUGGGUUCUAACGCUAACGAUCCUUGAACUUAACGGGAAUCCUGAAUUCUUUUUACAUUUUUCCCCAUCUCUUCGGGCCACAAACCUUCUAGCCUUUCAAAUGAAAUCAGGUUGAAUGGUGGCAUCUCUCAUAGCUUUGUCUGACCACACCGUCAACUGCUAACAUGAUUCUCCUGACGUCGCAGAAACAACCGCAUCCUAAAGUGUCAACUCAUUGCCCCAGAGGAGCAUUUAUUCUGACAGCCGAGCCUUUUCACCCCACCCCCACAAUCUCAGUUCUCAACUUUGACUCACUUUAACUUUGUACGUCACAAAUUUCUUCUUCCAAGGACUCGAGGAAGCAAAGCUGAAAGCAAAUGAAUGGGGCAGCCAUGAAUUUUGUGCAGAUGGAGAGAAGAGAGGGUGGGGAGGUGGGGGCUGGCUGGAGAAGCUUGCUGUGGACAGGGGAUUAUCUCUCAUCAGCAGAUGCGUCCAUUUCAACCCCCACCUCCACCCCCCGUAAAGACUGUGCCAGACUGAAAGCCAAAGGCCCCCAGUGUGAUCCCAACAACAGAGGUGUAUGUGGGUAUGUUUGUGUUAUGAACCCUCCCUCAAAACUUUGGGCCAUGUUUCAUCUUUACAGGCACAACUAUUCAUUCAGAGCCAGCCCGUCUGGCUGUGUGUUUUUCUUGGUUGGAAUUAUUAACCCCACUUCCUGUUGUCUGGAGACAUGCGGGUUGUGGAGAAGCAUCUUGAGUGGAUGGAUGGCAAAGAAGACAAAUGAACCACUGUUGCCACGUGAGUUAGAAUUAAUGCUCUCGUCUUUGAGUUUAUUACAGUGAAUGGCUAUGGGGUCUUAAACUGAGAUAUAAAUAUUUGAAGCAUGGAGCAUUAUUUGGCCAAGACUUGGAGAAAUACAUUAAUGAAAAGAGAGCAUACGAUAACUUGUGCUUAUUCUUCAGGGUUUUAAGUGAGUUGCACUUCUGGCUUUUUGGAUUGAAUAGGUAGUUUGAACCAAUAAUCCCAAUGAAAACAACUAUAAACUGGAUCAAAUGUCUUUUAAUAAUGUUAAAAGGAAUGGGAGCCCUAACAAGGUGGUGAAAUGGUAUGGAUGAAGAUCCAGAAGACGAUGGAAGUCUGGAGAGGUCUGGUCAGCAUUGAGUGCUGCCCUGUCUGCUGCUUCAGGAAGAGGAGGAAAUGGAGCUCCCAGUCCUUUACAGGAUUUUUUCCUGGGAAGCUGACGUGCUUUAAAAAAUACUCAAUCAUCACUAUCAGCUUUACGGAUAUUUUGUGUUAUAUGCUGAUAUUACAGCUUUUCCCAAAAUUCAAUAGGAGCUUUGAUCUACGCUCACGUUUGUGGUAGACACACUCGAGAAGUGGCCCCCAUGACUUCCUUCCCCAGUCCUGGAGUUCACACCCUCGAGUGUGGGAAGACCUGGGACUUCUUCUAACCAACCGACCACCACACAGACGGCCAGAUGUGCAAGGUUACAACCACAUAAGACUUUAGCAUCAGUUUGGCUGGAGUCUGGCUCUCUCUGCCUUGCUGGCUUUGAGGACGCAAGUGAUCCUCUUGGAUAACCCCAUGUGGCAGGAACUGGAGGGUGCCUCUGGGGCAGAAGGGGGGCCCGGCUAACAGCCAGUGAGAAACUGAAGUCUUCAGUCAAAUGCUUGCAAGAAACUGAAUUCUUCCCACAACCGGGGUAGGCUUGGAAAUGAUCCUCCUGCAGGCAAACCUCAGAUGAGAACACAGCCUGUCCGACACCCAGAUUCCUGCCUGGCUGAGACUCUAAACAGAGGAUCCGUCUAAGCUGUCCCUGGACUCUAUUUCUUAUUGACACAUGAAAAAGCUCAUGGGAGACUGUGUUUCUAAAAUUGGAACAGAAUAACCAUACCAAGUACUGUGGAACAAGGGCAACGCUCACACACCGCUUGGGGAGACGCAAAAGGGUACAGCCCCUCUGGGAAACAGGGCUACCGUUUCUUAAAGGUUAAACAUGAAAGCAACAAUGAGAUACCCCUCUACUCUUAUUAAAAUGGCCCAAAUCUGAGACAAUGCCAGCAUCACAGCUGGCGAGGGUGUGGAGCAACAGGAACUCUCGUUCGCUGGUGGUGGGAAUGAAAAAUGUGCAGCUACUUUGGAAGACAGUUUUUGGUGUUUUUUACAAACUUAACAUAAUCUUAACAUAGGAUCCGGCACCCACGGUAUUUACCUUGGUAUUUACCCAAAUGAGCUGAAAACGUGUCCACACAAAAACCUGCACACAAAUGUUUAGAGCAGCUUUAUUCAUAAUUGCUCAAACUUGGGAGCAACCAACGCAUCCUCCAGUAGGUGAAUGAAUAAAUAAACUCUGGUACAUCGAAACAGUGGAAUAUUAUUCAAUGCUGAAAAGAAAUGCGCUAUCAAGCUAGGAAAAAACGCAGCGGAAUCUUAAAUGCAUAUCACUAAGUGACAGAAGCCAGUAUGAAAAGUCUGCAUGUCUGUCCCACAACCCAGAUGCCCCUCAGCGGGUGAGUAGACACACUGGGGUCUGUCCGCACCAAGGAACACCUCCCAGCAAUAAACAGGAGCAGCUGCUGGGGUGUGCCGCAGCCUGGAUGGGCAGAAAAAGCUUAGGGAAAGAAGCCAGGUUGGAAAAGCUUCUGGCUGUAUGAUUUGCUUUAUAUGAUGUUCUCAAAUAGACAAAAUUAUACGAUGGGGAGCAUGUCGGGGGCUGCCGGGGACUGGCGAUGGAAAGGUGUGACCCUGAAGGGGCGGCAGGAGGGGGCUUCUGGAAUGAGAGCAUCCUGCAUCCUGCUUGGGGUGGGGGUGAGGGGUCACAGGAACCUGGACGCAUGUUUAAAUUCGUAGAAGGGCCCACCUCCCCCAAGUUCAAUGCUACUGUAUAAUUUGAAAAUAAAAACACAUUUCAUGCCUAGAUUGCACUGUAAAAAAAGAAACCCCAAAAGUUACACAUACAGGUACCCUAGGACCCAGCUACUCCAUUCCUAGGUGUUUACCAAGGGAAGUGAGAGUCUGCGUCCACGCAGAGCCGUGUGGACAAGUCCUCACAGAGGCUGCGUUUGGAGUAGCCUCAAAGUGGAAGAGCCCCAACCUCCUUCAGCAGCUGAAGGUAAAAAAACUGGGUGCAUCCAUGCAGCGGAGCGCUUCUCAGUGAUAAAGAGAAACCAGCUGUCAACACAGGAGACCACGUGGACAG
Long non-coding RNA from Equus quagga, 3262 nucleotides. RefSeq lists it as uncharacterized. NCBI's taxonomy places the organism in Eukaryota, Metazoa, Chordata, Mammalia, Perissodactyla, Equidae. The transcript has 3 exons. The record is from RefSeq and is a predicted model, not a curated record.